Molecule: ribosomal RNA, 964 nt
Filed under: human gut metagenome
Description: bacterial SSU rRNA
Rfam family: Bacterial small subunit ribosomal RNA
Source: RNAcentral
CGGAAUAACUGGGUGUAAAGGGAGCGCAGGCGGGAGAACAAGUGGAAGUGAAAUCCAUGGGCUCACCCAUGAACUGCUUUCAAACUGUUUUUCUUGAGUAGUGCAGAGGUAGGCGGAAUUCCCGGUGUAGCGGUGGAAUGCGUAGAUAUCGGGAGGAACACCAGUGGCGAAGGCGGCCUACUGGGCACCAACUGACGCUGAGGCUCGAAAGUGUGGGUAGCAAACAGGAUUAGAUACCCUGGUAGUCCACACCGUAAACGAUGAUUACUAGGUGUUGGAGGAUUGACCCCUUCAGUGCCGCAGUUAACACAAUAAGUAAUCCACCUGGGGAGUACGACCGCAAGGUUGAAACUCAAAGGAAUUGACGGGGGCCCGCACAAGCAGUGGAGUAUGUGGUUUAAUUCGACGCAACGCGAAGAACCUUACCAAGUCUUGACAUCCCUUGACGAUGCUGGAAACAGUAUUUCUCUUCGGAGCAAGGAGACAGGUGGUGCAUGGUUGUCGUCAGCUCGUGUCGUGAGAUGUUGGGUUAAGUCCCGCAACGAGCGCAACCCUUAUGGUCAGUUACUACGCAAGAGGACUCUGGCCAGACUGCCGUUGACAAAACGGAGGAAGGUGGGGAUGACGUCAAAUCAUCAUGCCCUUUAUGACUUGGGCUACACACGUACUACAAUGGCGUUAAACAAAGAGAAGCAAGACCGCGAGGUGGAGCAAAACUCAGAAACAACGUCCCAGUUCGGACUGCAGGCUGCAACUCGCCUGCACGAAGUCGGAAUUGCUAGUAAUCGUGGAUCAGCAUGCCACGGUGAAUACGUUCCCGGGCCUUGUACACACCGCCCGUCACACCAUGAGAGCCGGGGGGACCCGAAGUCGGUAGUCUAACCGCAAGGAGGACGCCGCCGAAGGUAAAACUGGUGAUUGGGGUGAAGUCGUAACAAGGUAGCCGUAGGAGAACCUGCGGCUG